CGCGUAGGCGGGAUGGCAGGUCGGUCGUGAAAUCCUUCGGCUCAACCGAAGAACGUCGAUCGAUACUGCUGUUCUUGAGGAUUGCAGAGGAGACUGGAAUUCCCGGUGUAGCGGUGAAAUGUGUAGAGAUCGGGAGGAACACCGGUGGCGAAGGCGGGUCUCUGGGCAAUUCCUGACGCUGAGGCGCGAAAGCGUGGGGAGCAAACGGGAUUAGAUACCCCGGUAGUCCACGCUGUAAACGAUGACGACUAGGUGUGGGGGGGUUCAGUCCCCUCCGUGCCGCAGCUAACGCAUUAAGUCGUCCGCCUGGGGAGUACGGCCGCAAGGUUGAA
Molecule: ribosomal RNA, 332 nt
Filed under: uncultured bacterium
Lineage: Bacteria
Description: bacterial SSU rRNA
Rfam family: Bacterial small subunit ribosomal RNA
Source: RNAcentral